GCCCGUAGCUCAGUUGGUAGAGCAACACUUUUGUAAAGUGAAGGUCCGCGGUUCGAAUCCGCGAGGUGGCUCCA
This 74-nucleotide transfer RNA is filed under the name bacterium. Its description in RNAcentral is "tRNA-Thr". The stretch from base 6 to 63 matches the Rfam family "tRNA", at positions 8 to 63 of the family's 71-position model. From Rfam's summary of the family: Transfer RNA (tRNA) molecules are approximately 80 nucleotides in length. Their secondary structure includes four short double-helical elements and three loops (D, anti-codon, and T loops). Further hydrogen bonds mediate the characteristic L-shaped molecular structure. tRNAs have two regions of fundamental functional importance: the anti-codon, which is responsible for specific mRNA codon recognition, and the 3' end, to which the tRNAs corresponding amino acid is attached (by aminoacyl-tRNA synthetases). tRNAs cope with the degeneracy of the genetic code in two manners: having more than one tRNA (with a specific anti-codon) for a particular amino acid; and 'wobble' base-pairing, i.e. permitting non-standard base-pairing at the 3rd anti-codon position. The record is from RNAcentral.